Molecule: non-coding RNA, 25 nt
Filed under: Rattus norvegicus (Norway rat)
Lineage: Eukaryota; Metazoa; Chordata; Mammalia; Rodentia; Muridae
Source: RNAcentral
UGACUCUUAGACGAUGGGAGAGUUG